This 599-nucleotide ribosomal RNA is filed under the name Bacillus sp. CH72a_2B. RNAcentral describes it as "bacterial SSU rRNA". It matches the Rfam family "Bacterial small subunit ribosomal RNA", at positions 50 to 632 of the family's 1533-position model. Lineage: Bacteria; Bacillati; Bacillota; Bacilli; Caryophanales; Bacillaceae. The record is from RNAcentral.
UAUACAUGCAAGUCGAGCGGACAGAAGGGAGCUUGCUCCCGGAUGUUAGCGGCGGACGGGUGAGUAACACGUGGGUAACCUGCCUGUAAGACUGGGAUAACUCCGGGAAACCGGAGCUAAUACCGGAUAGUUCCUUGAACCGCAUGGUUCAAGGAUGAAAGACGGUUUCGGCUGUCACUUACAGAUGGACCCGCGGCGCAUUAGCUAGUUGGUGGGGUAAUGGCUCACCAAGGCGACGAUGCGUAGCCGACCUGAGAGGGUGAUCGGCCACACUGGGACUGAGACACGGCCCAGACUCCUACGGGAGGCAGCAGUAGGGAAUCUUCCGCAAUGGACGAAAGUCUGACGGAGCAACGCCGCGUGAGUGAUGAAGGUUUUCGGAUCGUAAAGCUCUGUUGUUAGGGAAGAACAAGUGCGAGAGUAACUGCUCGCACCUUGACGGUACCUAACCAGAAAGCCACGGCUAACUACGUGCCAGCAGCCGCGGUAAUACGUAGGUGGCAAGCGUUGUCCGGAAUUAUUGGGCGUAAAGGGCUCGCAGGCGGUUUCUUAAGUCUGAUGUGAAAGCCCCCGGCUCAACCGGGGAGGGUCAUUGGAAA